Pantherophis guttatus is the source of this 970-nucleotide long non-coding RNA. RefSeq lists it as uncharacterized. Lineage: Eukaryota; Metazoa; Chordata; Lepidosauria; Squamata; Colubridae. The record is from RefSeq and is a predicted model, not a curated record.
GCUUAUGCACAACAGGGGAGGCUUUUUUCGUGCUUGCGAUUUUAUCAGCUUCCCACCUCUCGUCUAACGGUCCCACUAGGGAAGCGAGGCAGACACCAUAAUGUUUCCUGCAAAAAUCCGGUUUUUACCAUCUCUUUGAUAACAAAGAGAUCUUUGGUGCCAUUUAAAAAUCCUCUGGAUCUUGUAGCCCGCAUCUUGUAGCCGCUGGGUAGGGACAACUGAACCAAAACCCCUGCGUCUUAGUCUUCUUCCUAGGAUGCUUCCAUACCAUCCACAGAUGCCCAUCGGUCUAUCCUAGCGCCUGGGAAUCCAUUGAUAUUAAUCUGGGACUGGGUGUUUAGGUGAUUGUUUCAAAUGUGGUAUUCCAUUACUACGCCCUCCCAAAUUUCUUAAACUGGCCCUGCUUGCUGGAAAAACAGGAUGAUUGUGACUACUGUGCAACCACAAUAAUGUUGGCGAUAUUCUACUGUGCAGUCCAUUCCCAUUCAUGUGGAGGAAGAGUUACACUCAAUGCAGAUUUACAGUUGUAAGAAAAAAAAAUGAUGGAAGAACUAGGAAGAAACCAUCAAAUAUUUACGAACUGUAAUAGGAAUGUCGAGCUGACCUUGGGAAUAGAGAAGGAAGGAGCAAGCCAUUAAAGGAACAAAUGAUCACACAGUUUUGAGAAAGCAGAAAAAAAUGAGAAAGAAAUUCAAAACAAUCCCACCUUGAUUUUGUAUACUAUAAGAUGUAACAGUGAGAAACUAGGACAGGCUUUCAAGAUUCCUUGCCAUGCUGAAAAGCAUUUAUGAAUCCCUGCUGUGCCUGUUUUCUUGAUCUGGCCUGUCUCAAAAGGCUGGUACAAAAAGAUGUCUAGGCCUUUUUAAGCUGGGCAAAAAAAAGCAAAAAAAAAAAAAAAAAAGCACUUGUCUGGAAAUAUACUCCGUGAAAAUAGGCAGUCUCUAUAAACUUGUGGAUAAGCAAAUACAAU